Plutella xylostella (diamondback moth) is the source of this 661-nucleotide non-coding RNA. NCBI's taxonomy places the organism in Eukaryota, Metazoa, Arthropoda, Insecta, Lepidoptera, Plutellidae. The record is from RefSeq and is a predicted model, not a curated record.
AAAUUAGUACAAGGCGUGUUGUUUUUUUUUCUUUUUUUUUUAGACCCAACCUGUUUUUUGCCACCUGAGCCCGGCAGAUGCAAGGCCCGCAAGCGUCGUUACUACUUUGAUCCAACAACUGGAAGUUGCUCGUCAUUCAACUAUGGCGGAUGUGGCGGAAAUGGCAACCGAUUUAAAACUAUAAACCACUGCAAAAAUAAAUGCUUACCAAGUACACGUUCGCCUGAAUAUUGCCAGCUGCCCUUCGACUACGGAGACUGUGAUGUCGGUGAAGGGGUGAAAUGGUACUAUGACGCGGCCUCUGCGUUGUGCCUGGAAGAAAUUUACUCGGGCUGUGGCGGCAACGGAAACAUUUUCGACACUGAGGAACACUGCUAUGAUACGUGCGCUGAACUAAAACCAACUAAUGAACUGCCCAAGCGCAAGCCGCGCCUUAGUGAAGCAGGAGUUUCAGCUAUUUUAGGAAGCAAGAGGUUACAAGGCAUACUAGAAAACAUAUUCAGGAACAAACCCCCAAAAAACUUGAAGGUAGUUUUUAAUUUGUAUGAAGAUUAAAGUACCUAGAAUUUAAUUUGUAUGAAGAUUAAAGAAACACCUAGAAUUUAUUUUUUGCAUAUUAUUCUGUAUAGCCUAUACUUAUUUUAUGCACCUUUGUAAGAUU